This 78-nucleotide transfer RNA is filed under the name Trichonephila inaurata madagascariensis. Its description in RNAcentral is "tRNA-Ala". It matches the Rfam family "tRNA". From Rfam's summary of the family: Transfer RNA (tRNA) molecules are approximately 80 nucleotides in length. Their secondary structure includes four short double-helical elements and three loops (D, anti-codon, and T loops). The record is from RNAcentral. Lineage: Eukaryota; Metazoa; Arthropoda; Arachnida; Araneae; Nephilidae.
GGACCGGGUUCGUAGCUCAGAUGGUAGAGCGCUCGCUUAGCAUGCGAGAGGUACGGGGAUCUAUACCCCGCGCCUCCA